RNAcentral lists this long non-coding RNA (1358 nucleotides) under Homo sapiens (human). Its description in RNAcentral is "non-protein coding lnc-RHOB-2:9". The record is from RNAcentral. Lineage: Eukaryota; Metazoa; Chordata; Mammalia; Primates; Hominidae.
AUCCUCGCCCCUGUGGCGGAAAUGGGAGGGUGCCUGGAGGAGUGGAGGGAUUGGAUUUACACCCUCUUUUCCCUCCGAAGCCUCCUUGGUGGGGGCGAAGAAAGACCAUCCAACCCUGCCAAAGGCAAAAGGAUUAAGGAUAAAUGAAAGCAAGAUAAUGUAGAAGAACUACUUAGCUGCUGGGUUUUUGGAGAUGAGUGAUUUUUUUUUGUAGGGAGAAAUUAUGAAACACAUUGAAAUGGACAAAAAAUUACUGAAUGUCUUCAAUGAAAAAACAGCCAUAGUUUGGCACACCGUCCCGGGCAUUCUGUUGCUAGAGGGGCUGUCCGCUUUUCUUUGUGGUGCUCUGCACAACUCGGUAAGACCCCUCGUAUUGUUAUCUUACCCUUCCUUGGGAAAAGCCAUUUUGCAUCGAUUUGUAAAUUCAUUCCCCAGUCCUGAUUCAACAAUAUAGAUGGGUGCUUUAAAUUCUGCUUAGAGCUGGUUCUAACAGCUUACUGGUCCCCGGGUUAAUGAGUAAAUAAAUUUUUUACACGUGUUCAUUUUGUAUUUCUGUGAGACCUGUGACUUCACCGUUAAAAAAUGUAUUUAUCAUUUAAUGCUUUGGUAAACACACUUCUUUUCAGAGAAUAGAAAGGGCUUCCCUUCUGCCAGGGCAUAUUCUUAGCCAGAGACCACACUGAAUUCAGAGUAAAGGUUAUUUCUUUGGCAUGGCUUCUUUGAACACUGCCUGAAAUUAUGUAUGUAUUUGUUGAUUAUCUCCCCAAUAAAAUACAAAUUUUAGGAGAGCAGAGACUAUUCACCACUGAAGGAGUUGUCCAUGGAGCUUAUUUUCAAACCAUCUGGGAAGCAGUAGUUAAGCCCGCCCACGCUAAAGGAUGGGGUGUGGCUGGCUAACUCAGAAUGAAUUAUGACAUUUCUCUACUUAUGUAGGGAGUAGAUUAUCUUAACCCCGCCCCACAAUUUCGUAUCCCUUAUUUUGUUCUAGGCACAGAUCCAAUCACUUUAUUUUCAAUCAUUUCAUUCCUACAACUAACUGAGAUAGGUACUCUUACGUUAUUUAACUCUACAGAGAAGUUAAAUUACAUAUCCAAGAUUGCAAGGCCAGUGUCACAACUGAGAUUAAAACCUGUUGUGCCAAUAGUUUCCAAACUUUGCUGCACAUUGGCAUCACCUGAGGAUCUUUACUAACCACUGAUGCCUGCUUACUAUUCCAGACCUUCUGAUUUAACUGUCAUGGGUGAGACCUGGGCAUUGACAUUUUUAAAAUGUCAAUUUUAAAAUUAGGUGAUCCUAAUGUGCAGCACUGUUAUUCUGUCUUGAUAUGAAAUGUGGCAGACAGAAAUAAAUACAAUACA